Molecule: non-coding RNA, 751 nt
Organism: Jatropha curcas
Lineage: Eukaryota; Viridiplantae; Streptophyta; Magnoliopsida; Malpighiales; Euphorbiaceae
Source: RefSeq, a predicted model, not a curated record
AUCACUUUCCUUUCAUUACUACCAGGCGCCAUCCUCACCACCAAGUAACCCGGUCUUAUCAAAUCGGGCAACAAAGUCAAAAAUUCCGUAUCGGUCACUAUCGGAUGAGCCGAAUGUAUUAAACCUCCUAGCGAAUCGUUAAACAAACAACACGGCCAUCGCCGAGCUUCACUACGCCGGUAUUAGCAUUAUCGGUUAAAGAAGCACCAGAAAAGAGGCUUCCGAUUCAACUUGCCGGUGACCGGCCAUUAAUCGGCCGUUUUCGAAGUGGAGUUUGACUAAUGUGGCGUAACCGUCAAAAAGGUGCCGGAAUUUGUAAUCUCCUAUGUGCCAGAGGCCAGGGCCGUUUCUAAGUUGAUUUUGGUAGGCACUUAUCAUACACUGGAGAUCUUUAACAUGACAUUUGGGUGCUUAAAUUCAUAAACCAACUACUGAAGGCCACAGCUUACAAGGUAUAUUCUGAUUACUUGAAAUCUCCAUUUUCUUUUGUCGUUACACAUCAUAGGAAACUAGACUGAUUGAUUGAGGAUGCUUAUGGCUAUAGUGCCUAGCCCAAGUAAAUGUGCCUCAUCAUAAUUAUAUAAAUAUACGGUUUGCUAUAUUUGUCAAUUGAAUGUGUAAGAAUAGUUUCUUGCUGCAAUGUUGUAAUUGGAAAUUAGCUAUAAGAGAGGACAUAGCUUUCUUCUCAUCAUGACAUUUUGUUUAGAUAAUUUCUGAUAAUAUUACUAGUCAUCUGUGUAGAGGUUUUGGC